CAUGCAUCCUCGGAAACGCAUUCAUCCCUCAUUGGUUCCCCAGUAAAAACGUCCCCCAGAAACGCAUCCUCUAGGAAUGGGUUCCCCUCUCAUAAAUGCAUCCUCAGAAACGCGUUCCCCCAGACCUGGGUCCCCCCCCAUAACUGUGCACCUACAGAAGUGGGGCCCCCCGUGAAAUCCCCCCCUUCUAAAUCACUCCCUCUCAGCGCUGUGCCCCCCCGGAACUUGGCCCCAUGGGGACAUCUCCCCUCAAAAAUGGGGCCGCCCCCCAGAAAUGCGUCCCAGGAACCGUGCCCCCCCCCCCACACACACUGCCCCACUCACCUCUUCCAUCCGCUGCUGCUGCGCUUCCACCGCCUCCCACAACAGCGCCCUCAGCACCUCGGGCUGGAACAGGAAGUCCCGCCCACCCGGGGCAGGAAGUCACAAAUCGGGGGGGAGGCAGGAAGUCCCGCCCCUUUCCUGUUCCCACCACAGGAAGUCCUAUCCCCAGGGAAGAAAGGAAAUCCUGCCCCCAACACAUACAGACAGGAAGUCCCUCCCACCAGCCCAACUGAGACAGGAAGUCCCUCCUCCACCCCGCUCCUAAAACAGGAAGUCCUUCCCCUGACAAACAGGAAGUCCCACCUCUGCUCCACUCUCAAAACAGGAAGUCCCUCCCCUGACAGAAAUACAGACAGGAAGUCCCACCUCCACCCAUCUCCCAAAACAGGAAGCCCCUCCCCCAACAGACACAGACAGGAAGUUCCUCCUCUAUCCCUCUCCCAACACAGGAAGUCCCUCCCUCAAAAGAAAUACAGACAGGAAGUCCCCCUCCUCCACCCCUCUCCCAAAACAGGAAGUCCCUCCCCCGACACACACAGACAGGAAGUCCCACCUCCACCCAUCUCCCAAAAAAGGAAGACCCUCCCCCAACACAUACAGACAGGAAGUCCCACCUCGACCUUUCUCCCAACACAGGCAGUCCCUCCCUCAAGAGAAAUACAGACAGGAAGUCUCUCCCACCACAGAAACACAGACAGGAAGUUCCUCCUCCACCCCUCUCCCAAAAUAGGAAGUUCCUCCCCCAACACACACGGAUAGGAAGUCCCUCCUCUACCCCUCUACCAACACAGGAAGUCCCUCCUUCAAAAGAAACACAGACAGGAAGUCCCCUUCCUCCAUCCCUCUCCCAAAACAGGAAGUCCCUCCCCCGACACACACAGACAGGAAGUCCCAUCUCCACCCCCUCCCCAAACACAGGAAGUCCCUCCCCUGACAAACAGGAAGUUCCUCCUCUAUCCUUCUCUCAACACAGAAAGUCCUUCCCCCUACAGACACACAGACAGGAAGCCCCACCUCCACCCCUCUCCCAAAACAGGAAGCCCCUCCCCCAACACACACAGACAGGAAGUCCCUCCUCUACCCCUCUCCCAACACAGGAAGUCCCUCCCUCAAAAGAAAUACAGACAGGAAGUCCCCCUCCUCCNCACCAGAAACAGGUUCCCCCUCAAGAACUGUGAGUGCCUGCAUGUUGGUUCCUCCCACAACUGGUUCCCCCACGCUAUCACAGGUCCGUCCCUCAAUGAGGUCCCCUGCUAAUGUGGGGCCCCACUCCAAUUGGGUCCCCCAAAAACUAAGACCCCUGCACACAGGUUCCUCUCCUAAACGGGUCCCGCAUCCCAAGUGUGUUCCCCCAUAACUGGGUCCGUCUCGCAAAAGGUUCCCCCACUAUGCCGAGGUCCCACCGCAAUUGGGUCCCCCCGGAACACAACCCCACACAUCUUCGUUCCUGCUCUUAAUGGGUCUCACCCCCUGUGAACGGGCCCCCUCAAAAUUCUGCCCUCCUGGAACACGGACCCCAAACACAGGUUCCCCCCCCAAAAUGGGUCCCCCCCCUCAAAACUGGGAGUCCCUGCAUGUUGGUUCCUCCCACAACGGGUUCCCCCACGCUAUCACGGGUCCGUCCCUCAAUGAGGUCCCCCACUAUGCUGGGGUCCCAACGCAAUUGGGUCCCCCCCGAACAGAACCCCACACAUCUUUGUUCCUGCUCUUAAUGGGUCUCACCCCCUGUGAACGGGCCCCCUCAAAAUUCUGCUCUCCU
This is a long non-coding RNA of Numida meleagris (helmeted guineafowl), 2083 nucleotides long. The record is from Ensembl. Lineage: Eukaryota; Metazoa; Chordata; Aves; Galliformes; Numididae.